This 301-nucleotide ribosomal RNA is filed under the name uncultured bacterium. RNAcentral's name for it is "partial 16S ribosomal RNA". It matches the Rfam family "Bacterial small subunit ribosomal RNA", at positions 509 to 807 of the family's 1533-position model. The record is from RNAcentral.
CAGCAGCCGCGGUAAUACGUAGGGUGCGAGCGUCAAUCGGAUUUACUGGGCGUAAAGCGUGCGCAGGCGGCCCGUUAAGACAGGUGUGAAAUCCCUGGGCUCAACCUAGGAAUUGCGCUUGUGACUGGCGGGCUCGAGUACGGUAGAGGGGGGUGGAAUUCCUGGUGUAGCAGUGAAAUGCGUAGAGAUCAGGAGGAACACCGAUGGCGAAGGCAGCCCCCUGGGCCUGUACUGACGCUCAUGCACGAAAGCGUGGGGAGCAAACAGGAUUAGAUACCCGCGUAGUCCCUGUCUCUUAUAC